Molecule: long non-coding RNA, 275 nt
Filed under: Lathyrus oleraceus (garden pea)
Lineage: Eukaryota; Viridiplantae; Streptophyta; Magnoliopsida; Fabales; Fabaceae
Description: Pisum sativum (pea) long non-coding RNA (PSAT_LNC028537)
Source: RNAcentral
GAUGUUUGAAGAAGAAGAGGAACAAUCCUAUCUUCUUUCCUUUUUCUUUUAUUUUCGUUUCUUUCUUUUCCGACGAGAGAGAAAGGGUAGGCUAGUGGGUACUUUUUGUUUUCUUUUCGUUUUUCUUUUUUUAAAUCCCUUUCUAUUUUCUCUUUUAAUUGGAUCCAAAGAGAAUCCUUUUCACCAAAGAGAGAGAGUGUUGUUGGAGAGUGUCCUCUCCUUUGCUAGUGGUCCACCCAACUGUCAUCCAUUAGCCAUUGAGAAAGACGUUUUUG